GCUUGACUGUAGCUUGUAAUUGGGUUCGGGCUUUUUUUGCGCAGCCUAGGUGGGAGGCAACGAUGAUUUUUUUCCGGAAAAAUUUGAGCCGUUAGUGAGAGACCACUCUGAAAAGGCUAGAAUCCUAAUAAUGAUCCUUGAAUCAGGACAUUUGACAGUUGCAGGUGGGCAGUUUUACUGGGGCGGUAUUCUCCUAAAAAGUAACGGAGGGGUGCAAAGGUUCCCUCAAGCUGGACGGAAAUCAGCUUAAGAGUGUAAAGGCAAAAGGGAGCUUGACUGCAAGACCUACAAGUCGAGCAGGGGCGAAAGCCGGCCUUAGUGAUCCGACGGUACCACGUGGAAGGGCCGUCGCUCAACGGA
This 360-nucleotide ribosomal RNA is filed under the name uncultured alga. RNAcentral's name for it is "partial 23S ribosomal RNA". It matches the Rfam family "Bacterial large subunit ribosomal RNA", at positions 2098 to 2456 of the family's 2925-position model. The record is from RNAcentral.